AACCAUUCUCACCUGCGGCUAGACCUGCGGAGGGAUCAUUACCUAGAGUUGUAGGCUUUGCCUGCUAUCUCUUACCCAUGUCUUUUGAGUACCUUACGUUUCCUCGGCGGGUUCGCCCGCCGGUUGGACAAAACUUAAACCCUUUGUAGUUGCAAUCAGCGUCUGAAAAAACUUAAUAGUUACAACUUUUAACAAUGGAUCU
This 202-nucleotide unclassified non-coding RNA is filed under the name soil metagenome. RNAcentral's name for it is "partial contains 5.8S ribosomal RNA, internal transcribed spacer 2, and large subunit ribosomal RNA". The record is from RNAcentral.